Paramesorhizobium deserti is the source of this 119-nucleotide non-coding RNA. NCBI's taxonomy places the organism in Bacteria, Pseudomonadati, Pseudomonadota, Alphaproteobacteria, Hyphomicrobiales, Phyllobacteriaceae. The record is from Rfam.
GAGCUUCGCAAGGGUUUACCUCCUCCCAAACCCGCGCGAUUGAGGCUGGCACCUCCUCCUCCCAGCCAGCCUUACCCUAACGACACCCGCCGCACCUCCUCCCGCGGCGGGUGUUGUUU